CGGUGACGUUAAGCAAAUCCCAGAAAUAACGUCCCAGUUCGGAUUGUAGUCUGCAACCCGACUACAUGAAGCUGGAAUCGCUAGUAAUCGCGAAUCAGAAUGUCGCGGUGAAUACGUUCCCGGGUCUUGUACACACCGCCCGUCACACCAUGGGAGUCGGAAAUGCCCGAAGUCAGUGACCCAACCGUAAGGAGGGAGCUGCCGAAGGUGGAGCCGGUAACUGGGGUGAAGUCGUAACAAGGUACC
RNAcentral lists this ribosomal RNA (246 nucleotides) under uncultured bacterium. RNAcentral describes it as "partial 16S ribosomal RNA". It matches the Rfam family "Bacterial small subunit ribosomal RNA", at positions 1255 to 1500 of the family's 1533-position model. The record is from RNAcentral.